Molecule: RNA transcript, 5324 nt
Organism: Oncorhynchus mykiss (rainbow trout)
Lineage: Eukaryota; Metazoa; Chordata; Actinopteri; Salmoniformes; Salmonidae
Gene name: ephrin type-A receptor 8
Source: RefSeq, a predicted model, not a curated record
UAUGUAUGUGUGAGAGCAGACAGAGAGGCUGAGAGGAACAGAGGCAGUCUCUAACUCUAUCCCAGCCCUCAGCCCCUCAGACACACUCUCUCUCACUCACUCACACACGCACUCUCAGCGCUGGCUCAGGCUCCGCUUCAACACUGGGACACAGAGGCAGCAAAAGUCUGAGGGAGAGUAAGAGCGAGGGAGUGGGAGAGAGGAAGAGAGAGGGAGAUUGGUAGUGUGUGAGUGUGUGUGUGUGUGUGUGUGUAAGCACCAUGUCUUCAGACCCAGGGCUCAUAGCACUGUUUCUAUGGACUAUAUCACUACAGACACUUGGCACCGCCGGAAACAGCAACAACGACAACAAUGAAGUGAAUCUACUAGACACCUCCUCGAUAUCAGGCGACUGGGGCUGGCUAACAUACCCAUCACACGGGUGGGAUGCUAUAAAUGAGAUGGAUGAGUAUUUCAGUCCCAUCCACACGUACCAGGUGUGUAACGUGAUGAGUCCCAGUCAGAACAACUGGCUGAGGACAGGCUGGAUCCCUCGUGACGGAGCCAGGAGGAUCUAUAUCGAGGUCAAGUUCACCCUCCGGGACUGUAACAGCAUGCCUGGAGUCCUGGGAACUUGCAAGGAGACAUUUAACCUGUACUACUAUGAGUCGGACCGAGCUGUAGGCACGGCCAUCAGAGAGACCCAGUUCACCAAGAUCGAUACCAUCGCUGCUGAUGAGAGCUUUACUGGAGUGGACCUGGGAGUCAGGAGACUCAAACUCAACACAGAAGUUCGAGGUGUGGGCCCCCUCACUAGACGAGGCUUCUACCUGGCGUUCCAGGACAUCGGGGCGUGCAUCGCCCUGACCUCUGUCAGGGUGUACUACAAGCGCUGCUCAGGCGUGGGCCGCAACCUGGCCGUGUUCACUGACGUAGUGACGGGCGCUGACUCCUCCUCCCUGGUGGAGGUCAGGGGUCAGUGUGUGGACCACGCCGAAGAGAGAGACACGCCCAAGAUGUACUGCAGCGCUGAGGGGGAGUGGCUGGUGCCCAUCGGGAGGUGUAUAUGCAGCGCUGGGUUCGAGGAGCACAGGGAGUCCUGCAUCGCGUGUGAGGUGGGUUUCUAUAAGCCAAUGGCAGGUGAUGGGUUGUGUGGGAGGUGUCCUCUACAAAGCCACUCAGAGACCAGAGCUGCCCUCUACUGCCCCUGUGACUCCAGCCACUACAGGGCCCCUACAGACCCCCCUGCCGCACCAUGCACAAGCCCCCCAACAGCUCCAGUAAACAUGAUAUCGUCGGUUAACGGUACGUCAGUGAAUCUGGAGUGGGGUCGACCGAUGGACUCGGGGGGUCGCAGUGACCUGCUGUACAGCGUGCUCUGUCAGAAGUGCUCUGGGGAAGGGGGGCAGUGUGAGGACUGUACAGCAGGGAUGGGGUCAACCAGUGUGGGAGAGGGGAUGGGAGGAGAGGGUGGAGGGACGGUGGACCGCUCUGGGGUGGUCCCCGUGCGGUUUGUUCCCCGGCAGAGCUUGCUGACCGAACCCUGGGUUACCGUUCUAAACCUGGUUGCCCACGCCAACUAUACCUUCCGUAUCCUAGCGAUGAAUGCGGUGACUCACCUAAGCAAUGAGCCGGCGCCCUUCAUAUCUGUCAACAUCACCACGAACCAGGCAGCCCCUUCCCAGGUGAUUGCCAUUCGCCAGGAGAACACCAGUCAGAACAGCGUCACUCUGCAGUGGCACGAGCCUGACCAGCCCAAUGGAGUCAUACUAGAGUAUGACAUCAAAUACUAUGAGAAGGAUAAGGAGCAGCAGAGUUACUCCACCCUGAAGGCCAAGGGGACCACGGCCCGGGUGUCUGGCCUGAAGCCUGGUACCAGGUACAUUUUUCAGGUCCGGGCCAGAACCUCGGCAGGCUGCGGACGCUUCAGCCAGAAUGUGGAGAUCCAGACCGGGAAAGCAAUUCCUCUGCGCUACGACACUAUGACCAUCAUCUGGAUCUGUAUGGCGCUGGUCUCUGGCCUCGUCACCUUCCUGGCCAUCGUCAUCUGCAGGAAACGGCAAGGCAACCCUUUCUUACACUACACCACAACCCGUGAUGUGGACGAGUCCUCUCUGACUCUACGUCACUCAUAUACACACUGUGGCUAUAGCAAGGCCUUCCAGGACUCUGAUGAGGAGAAGAUGCACUACCAGAAUGGCCAUGUGUCAUUCCCCGACGUGCGAUUCUACAUCGACCCACACACCUACGAGGACCCCUGCCAGGCCGUCCACGAGUUUGCCCGAGAAAUUGAAGCUUCCAGGAUCAGAAUAGAGAAAAUCAUUGGGUCAGGUGAGUUUGGGGAGGUGUGUUACGGGCGGAUGCGUCUCCCAGGGAAGAGAGACAUUCCGGUGGCUUUGAAGACACUGAAGGCAGGAUACAGUGACAAGCAGAGGAGGGACUUCCUGGCUGAGGCAUCAAUCAUGGCCCAGUUUGACCACCCUAACAUCAUUCACCUGGAGGGAGUGGUCACACGCAGUAAACCAGUCAUGAUCAUCACUGAGUACAUGGAGAAUGGAUCUCUGGACUCUUUCCUGAGGAAACAUGAUGGUCAGUUCACUAUAAUCCAGUUGGUGGGCGUGAUGCGUGGCAUCGCGGCGGGUAUGACCUACCUGGCAGACAUAGGCUACAUCCACCGCGACCUGGCAGCUCGUAACAUCCUGGUCAACAGCAACAUGGUGUGUAAGGUGUCUGACUUCGGCCUGUCCAGAGUCCUGGAGGACGAUCCUGAUGCAGCAUACACCACCAGCGGUGGUAAGAUUCCAAUCCGCUGGACAGCGCCGGAGGCCAUUGCCUACAGGAAGUUCUCCUCUUCCAGUGACGUGUGGAGCUAUGGCGUGGUCAUGUGGGAGGUCAUGUCAUAUGGGGAGAGGCCAUACUGGAACCUCACCAACAGAGAUGUGAUAAAGUCAGUAGAGGAGGGCUACAGGCUACCUGCUCCUAUGGGCUGUUCAGGUGCUUUACACACUCUCAUGCUGGACUGCUGGCAGAAGGACCGCAACGAGAGGCCCCGGUUCUGCCAGAUCGUUACAGUUUUAGACAAGCUGAUCCGGAACCCGGAGAACCUCAAGUCCAUGAACACGCUGUGCAGGCACACCUCCCAUGAUGGACAGAAGUAUCCCAGACUUCAGCAGCUGUAGUUCUGUGGAUGAGUGGCUGGACACCAUCAAGAUGGGCCGAUACAAGGACCAUUUUGCUGCAGGAGGCUACCUGACCCUAGGCCACGUCAUAGGCAUGAACCAAGGGGAUAUCCACAGGCUGGGGGUGACACUGAUGGGCCACCAGAAGAAGAUCAUGACCAGUGUACAGCUGAUGCGUGUCCAGGUGCUCAACAGAAGUGUGCCCUCGGUGCACGUAUAACUUCAGUCUCAAGGCUUCUCCAGCCAGCCGAUUUUCAAAUCUAGCCCCAGGCUUCUGAGGCCUAGUCGGAACUCAUGGGAAUUGAUCUAUGACUAUCAGAGAAACUACAAUGUCCGGGUGACAUUUUGGUUAACUUUUCAAGACCUCUUCUUUGAGAGAUUGAAACUUCAAGAGUACAGAUAUGAAGGGACUUGAGUACCAUAGCCUUUGUUUUUCCUAUUCAGAUAUGUUUCAUGUCUUGUUUGUAAAAAUGUAUGGACUGCCUUAAUCUCCACAAAUGAUUUAAAUGUUGUUGUAUACAAAGAGAGAUUCUAUUCAUAUUAAUGUAUCAGUUAAGUAUACGUUACAAUGGAUCUGAGUGAUAGCCUAGCAUACAGUAAGCGAGAGACUGGCAGGGGCUGGAGCACUGAGCUGUGUCCCCCAGCACACAGCUUCUCCUAUGGUUCCCCUGAGAACUGUCCCCAGGCCCCUGUCUACUUACAUGGCACAAGAAGACCCUGGACCUGAACCCGACAGUGGACAAACAGCAACAACCUACUCGACUCACCAGAAAUUCCAAGUCUCCUCCACUAAGAAGGAAGCCAGUUCUAAUUUGGCUAUGAAAGACUGUACGGAGUCACAAUCUCACACAGUAAACUUUCGAAGGACCCUAGGAGAGAAGCACUGUGUUCUCUCCCUGGUUCAGCUGUAUUGCGCACAACUACUGUAGAACAGAUGUAUGGAUGAUGACUCAUUGUGAUUAUAGUGUUUUGAUUCUGUGGUGGUAAGGACAAAACAAGGAAUAGGGAAAGUGCUAUAUGUGGAAUGUUUUUAUCUAAAUACUUUGAAAACAAUAUUAUUGACGGUCCUAGUUCCACUGUGCAAUCAAGAGAAUGGUUUUCUAAUGCACCUAUGUUUGAUUUCCUGAAUAAGUGGUCUAUGUCUCUUUUUAUUAGAGAAGAAGCUCAUUAUAUUCCCUGAAUAUGCAUUGUAUAACUAUGGUGACAUUUCAAUAAUGUUUCCAAAUUUUUCUCCUGAGACACUUUUUUUUUUAAACACUGGAGUUCAAUAGAAAUUCCAUAUUUUAUGAAUGUAUGUUUUAUUAGAUCUAUCAAUUGACAAACAGCCUUCUGUUUUCUAUACCAGUACAUACAACAGGAUGUACUAACCUCUGUCUGAAAUUAGGGGCUCUAUUCAAUCAGUAUCGGUGAAUCGUUACAGAUUGCUCAAAAGACAUUUGAAGGUAAUUUCCGAUUAAGUCGAAAUAUGCAGGGUUUAACGUGAAUGCUGUCUCCACUAACGCAGGGACAUGGCCUUUAAAUUUCAAUCACGCUGUAACGUUGAACAUCCGCAAUGCGGAUUGAAUAGAGCCCUCGGUCUAUUUGCUCUCAAACAAAAUUCAAAAGACAAAAGCUUUUUGCAAAGAUUGAUGGAUCAUCCUUGUUUGUCAUGUUGAAUCAUAUAAUACAAAUAGUGACUGAAAAAGCAAUACCCCUCUGUCUGCACGACUCAGUGCUGAGUCCACUGCCAUGAUUCACCUGGGAAUAAAUAAAAUGGGUUUAACACAACUGACCUGUCUCGCUUGGGAUGUUGCAGAAUGUUUCACAUUCCAAUCCGGAACACAACACAGUGACUAAUGUAGGAAUGAAUAGAAAAUGAACAAAACAGGGUUAGGGUUACAGUAAUGGAUUUUGGUUUGGUCAGGGUGUGAUUUGGGUGGGCAUUCUAUGUUCUUUAUUUCUUUGUUUCUGGCCGAGUGUGGUUCCCAAUCAGAUCAGACAGACAGUCUAUCGUUGUCUCUGAUUGGGGAUCAUACUUAGGCAGCCCUUUUCCCUCCUUCUGUGUGGGAUCUUGUCUUUGUUUGUGUGCAGGUAGUUUGCACAACAAAGCUAUUUGGGACGUUGUAUUCUUUAUUGUUUUGUCUUUUCCAAAGUUUCACUUCGUUAAUAAAUUAUGUGGAACUCAAA